Non-coding RNA from Triticum aestivum (bread wheat), 135 nucleotides. The record is from Rfam. NCBI's taxonomy places the organism in Eukaryota, Viridiplantae, Streptophyta, Magnoliopsida, Poales, Poaceae.
CAUAUACUUCCUCCACCCGAAAAUAUUUGUCAUCAAAAUGAAUAAAAGGUGAUGUAUCCAGAUGUAUAAUAGUUCUAGAUAUAUCCCUUUUUGUCCAUUUUGAUGACAAGUACUUUUGGACCGAGUGAGUAGUUC